Molecule: ribosomal RNA, 254 nt
Filed under: uncultured bacterium
Lineage: Bacteria
Description: partial 16S ribosomal RNA
Rfam family: Bacterial small subunit ribosomal RNA
Source: RNAcentral
UACGGAGGGUGCGAGCGUUGUCCGGAAUCAUUGGGCGUAAAGGGCGCGUAGGUGGCCCGGUGAGUCUUUGGUGAAAGCGCGGGGCUCAACCCUGCGUCGGCCAGGGAUACUGCCGCGGCUCGAGCACUGUAGAGGCAGGCGGAAUUCCGGGUGUAGCGGUGAAAUGCGCAGAUAUCGGGAGGAACACCGGUGGCGAAGGCGGUUCUCUGGGCCUGUACUGACGCUGAGGAGCGAAAGCGUGGGGAGCGAACAGG